This 31-nucleotide non-coding RNA is filed under the name Drosophila erecta. Lineage: Eukaryota; Metazoa; Arthropoda; Insecta; Diptera; Drosophilidae. RNAcentral also lists the same sequence under 12 other names. The record is from RNAcentral.
GCAUUGGUGGUUCAGUGGUAGAAUUCUCGCC